GUAGGUGGCAAGCGUUGUCCGGAAUUAUUGGGCGUAAAGCGCGCGCAGGCGGUUCUUUAAGUCUGAUGUGAAAGCCCACGGCUCAACCGUGGAGGGUCAUUGGAAACUGGAGAACUUGGGUACAGAAGAGGAAAGCGGAAUUCCACGUGUAGCGGUGAAAUGCGUAGAGAUGUGGAGGAACACCAGUGGCGAAGGCGGCUUUCUGGUCUGUAACUGACGCUGAGGCGCGAAAGCGUGGGGAGCAAACAGGAUUAGAUACCCUGGUAGUCCACGCCGUAAACGAUGAGUGCUAAGUGUUAGGGGGUUUCCCGCCCCCUUAGUGCUGCAGCUAACGCAUUAAGCACUCCGCCUGGGGAGUACGGCCGCAAGGCUG
RNAcentral lists this ribosomal RNA (373 nucleotides) under uncultured organism. RNAcentral describes it as "partial 16S ribosomal RNA". It matches the Rfam family "Bacterial small subunit ribosomal RNA", at positions 527 to 896 of the family's 1533-position model. The record is from RNAcentral.